GUGAGUCAUCGAAUCUUUGAACGCACAUUGCGCCCUGUGGUAUUCCGCAGGGCAUGCCUGUUCGAGCGUCAUUUCAACCCUCAAGCCUGGCUUGGUGUUGGGCCCUGCCCGCGGUGGCCGGCCCUAAAGAUAGUGGCGGCGCCGCCUAGCCCUCAGCGUAGUACAACUCUCGCUCCAGGGUCUGGCGGUGGCCUGUCAGAACCCCCCAACUCUGUGGUUGACCUCGGAUCAGGUAGGGAUACCCGCUGAACUUAAGCAUAUCAAUAAGCGGAGGA
RNAcentral lists this unclassified non-coding RNA (275 nucleotides) under Oidiodendron sp. RNAcentral's name for it is "partial contains 5.8S ribosomal RNA, internal transcribed spacer 2, and large subunit ribosomal RNA". The stretch from base 1 to 71 matches the Rfam family "5.8S ribosomal RNA", at positions 84 to 154 of the family's 154-position model. The record is from RNAcentral. Lineage: Eukaryota; Fungi; Ascomycota; Leotiomycetes; Myxotrichaceae.